GACGAACGCUGGCGGCGUGCUUAACACAUGCAAGUCGUACGGUAAGGCCCUUUCGGGGGUACACGAGUGGCGAACGGGUGAGUAACACGUGAGUAACCUGCCCACAACUUUGGGAUAACGCUAGGAAACUGGUGCUAAUACUGGAUAUGUGCUCCUGCUGCAUGGUGGGGGUUGGAAAGCUCCGGCGGUUGUGGAUGGACUCGCGGCCUAUCAGCUUGUUGGUGGGUAGUGGCCUACCAAGGCGGCGACGGGUAGCCGGCCUGAGAGGGUGACCGGCCACAUUGGGACUGAGAUACGGCCCAGACUCCUACGGGGGGCAGCAGUGGGGAAUAUUGCACAAUGGGCGCAAGCCUGAUGCAGCAACGCCGCGUGCGGGAUGACGGCCUUCGGGUUGUAAACCGCUUUCAGCAGGGACGAAGCUUUUUGUGACGGUACCUGCAGAAGAAGCACCGGCUAACUACGUG
RNAcentral lists this ribosomal RNA (464 nucleotides) under uncultured bacterium. RNAcentral describes it as "partial 16S ribosomal RNA". It matches the Rfam family "Bacterial small subunit ribosomal RNA", at positions 28 to 507 of the family's 1533-position model. The record is from RNAcentral.